GCUUUCAAAGCACUUGUGAGGCAGCUUUUGUCCAUUUUACUGAAUGACGUCCUGAGGCAGAAGGGGCUUUUCUACUGGAAUUUCCCUCCAUCUCUGAGGAUACUCUGGAAAUUUAAAUUUAAAAGCUCCUCUUGGCGCUUGCUCCCCGGCUCCCCAGUGCUCAGCGCCGGUGUCCGGGAAAGCUGGGAAGAGCCAUGCGGUUGGAGGCCCCUGCAGCCCCUCCUGGCUCUGUUGCGUUUGCGGAGGUGGUUAGUUCUGGAGCACCUCAUGUGCCGAGUGCGGACCUCGCUGACUAAUCGCCUCCGCGCGUAGAGGCGACCCAGUGUCUUGGGAGAACAAAGGGGAUCACUGUGCUUUCAGCUUUCCCGGACUGUUCCGGAGAGCCCAAGGUUGGCUUCCGCGAGAGUACCCAGCGUGCCGACUCGUCCUUCGGUUCUUCACGUCUGCAUCUCCUCCCUUUGGUCCUAAGGAAAAGCUGUCAGCAAGACUGGUGAACACAUGCGCGGUCUGAAGCCAGGACCCUAUCUAAUAAUCCUGCCCCCAGCUCAAGUUGAUUUGACCUGGAAUGAACCCCUGAGCCAAACUGAGCCAGUCGGAUUCUUUCCAUCAAUACUUUGGAAUUGGGAUUCACUCAGAGAUUCAUUCAUUGGGAUUCAUUAAAGCAGCAAUUGGAGUUACAGUAUUGUAAGUCUGAGAGCUGAGGCAUGGCUGUCUUCCAGGAUGGGACAAGGAAACAGAGAAUACCAGGCUGAAUAGAGACAAUGGAAUAAAUUACAUGAAUGAAGAAAAAUUAACAUGAGAGGUAAAAUACUCUCGGGCUUCCUUUUGGAUAUCUGGGUCCUGCUUAAAGUCUCUUGUGAGGCUUAGCUGUAUGCUUGUCCUUUGGUUUUGUAGGACAUUCCUGUAGCCUGGUGACGAAUUACUAAGUGUUUUUUUUUUUUUUUUUUUUUUUUACAGACAGGGUAUCACUCUGUUGCCCAGGCUAUAGUGCAGUUACGUGAUAAUGACUCACUGUAACCUCAAACUCCUGGGGUCAAGUGAUCCUUCCACCUUGGCCUCCUGAGUAGCUGGGACUACAGGUGUGUACUACCAUGCAUAAUUUUUAAAUUUUUUGUGGAGAUGGGGUGUUGCUAUAUGCUGGUCUCAAACUCCUGGCCUCAAGUGAUCCUCCCACCUUGGUCUCUCCAAAGUGCUGGGAUUAUAGGUGUAAGCCACUGAGCUGAGCAUAUACUACUACUUUAAGAAAGAUUUCAAACUAAGGGUAUUGGUACUAGGGGUUGGGUUGCAAACAUUAGCCCUUUAAAGAAAAUGUAGAAUUGGCUUAGUUGAAAUGAUAUGAAAUAGUAGUGAAAAAUGAGGAUUUAUCCUGAGUGGGCCAGGGAAAUAGCUUGAUUUUGUUUCACAGAUUUCACUAAUGAUGAUCAGAAUAGGAAAGAGAAAAAUGCCAAGAGAAAACCAUUCAGCAUACUCCUAUAGAGACCAAUAGAGAAAAUAACUGGAUAUGGAAACAAAAAUCCAGUGUAUUUCAGGUCACAAGUGUUCAGAAAAUGAGUUGAUAGACAUAUCAAUGUCUUCAGAUGGAGAAAGUGUAAGAAGUAAAACAUGCAUUCACUGCAGUGUCUAAAAAAAGAAUAAAAAGAAGCAAAGCAAAAUUCACAUUUUAGUGUAAUUAAAUAUGAGCACAUAAAAGUGAAAAAAUAAAGUGUAG
Molecule: long non-coding RNA, 1708 nt
Organism: Macaca nemestrina (pig-tailed macaque)
Lineage: Eukaryota; Metazoa; Chordata; Mammalia; Primates; Cercopithecidae
Source: Ensembl